This 301-nucleotide ribosomal RNA is filed under the name uncultured bacterium. RNAcentral's name for it is "partial 16S ribosomal RNA". It matches the Rfam family "Bacterial small subunit ribosomal RNA", at positions 509 to 807 of the family's 1533-position model. The record is from RNAcentral.
CAGUCGCCGCGGGAAUACGAAGGGGGCUAGCGUUGCUCGGAAUUACUGGGCGCAAAGGGCGCGUAGGCGGACAGUUCAGUCGGGGGUGAAAGCCCGGGGCUCAACCUCGGAAUUGCCUUCGAUACUGGCUGUCUUGAGUAUGAGAGAGGUGUGUGGAACUCCGAGUGUAGAGGUGAAAUUCGUAGAUAUUCGGAAGAACACCAGUGGCGAAGGCGACACACUGGCUCAUUACUGACGCUGAGGCGCGAAAGCGUGGGGAGCAAACAGGAUUAGAUACCCCAGUAGUCCCUGUCUCUUAUAC